UGGGGCAAAUCCUCGAGCUUGAUGUGU
Molecule: non-coding RNA, 27 nt
Filed under: Homo sapiens (human)
Lineage: Eukaryota; Metazoa; Chordata; Mammalia; Primates; Hominidae
Source: RNAcentral